AGAGUUUGAUCCUGGCUCAGGAUGAACGCUGGCGGCGUGCUUAACACAUGCAAGUCGAACGAACCUUCGGGUUAGUGGCGGACGGGUGAGUAACGCGUGGGAAUCUGCCCUCAGGAGGGGGAUAACGGUUGGAAACGGCCGCUAAUACCCCAUAUGCCGAGAGGUGAAAUGAAUUUCGCCUGAGGAUGAGCCCGCGUCUGAUUAGCUAGUUGGUGAGGUAAGAGCUCACCAAGGCAUCGAUCAGUAGCUGGUCUGAGAGGAUGAUCAGCCACACUGGGACUGAGACACGGCCCAGACUCCUACGGGAGGCAGCAGUGGGGAAUUUUCCGCAAUGGGCGAAAGCCUGACGGAGCAACGCCGCGUGAGGGAUGAAGGCCUCUGGG
This 383-nucleotide ribosomal RNA is filed under the name uncultured bacterium. Its description in RNAcentral is "bacterial SSU rRNA". It matches the Rfam family "Bacterial small subunit ribosomal RNA", at positions 8 to 422 of the family's 1533-position model. The record is from RNAcentral.